Long non-coding RNA from Chelmon rostratus (copperband butterflyfish), 837 nucleotides. RefSeq lists it as uncharacterized. The record is from RefSeq and is a predicted model, not a curated record. The transcript is spliced from 3 exons. Lineage: Eukaryota; Metazoa; Chordata; Actinopteri; Chaetodontiformes; Chaetodontidae.
GGUGAAAUUAGACAGACCCAGCCUACAACAACAACUUCAAGUCUGCUGCCCUCAGAGUGAUGUGUCCUGGUGGAUUGACUGCAGACAGCCUAGCAGCUGGUAAUAAGGGCUGCCUGGCGAGGCCACAGUCUCAAAGACGGACUGGAAAGCCCUGCGGUCCAGCUCCUCGUCAAUCUGGUGCCGGUAGAAAUCCAUGGCCACCAGGCAGAACAGGUUGACGUCCACCACCUCACUGGAGCCCAUUCGGCUGAUGACGUGUGGCAGUCUGGUUGAGAGCAGGGGGGUUAAGGACAACAGACCUCGCUGUUUGGUGAGCUGUGCAAUUACACUUUGCUGCUACAUCCCCACAUGCAGAUAAAACAACCCUAUCACUGUGCUGCUCAUAGGACUUUUGGCAUGUAAGGAUACAGGGCUGAGAUCCACUGCGAGGUGGAAGCAGAGACAAAGAAACAGGAAAGGCUCCACAUGGCCAUGGCCACUGGCGUCCUCUGAGUGAAAUUGGACAAGGAUAACAGCACCCAGUCUCGCACCAUGGAAGACUGGCCUGUGGCGUGGAGUGUCUGGAAAACCUGAAGACAACAGUGGCCAUGAAUUGUGGGUAAGGUUGCUGAUUGGACAGGAACUCUCCGAUGACCUUGUUCAUGACGUCCUGUGGCGGGAAGAAGUCAUCCAGAAACUGCGGCAGAAUCCUGGACACAACCCGAGCCUCGCUGGGUAAACCUUUCCGGAUCCUGCAGACAGGAAACCCCAGAAGAUGAAAUGAUGGGAAACAAAGCAAAAACAUUUAUCAGCUGCCGUCAAAUUAUUCUGGACACAAAACUCAAAAUGGUGAAGGAU